RNAcentral lists this ribosomal RNA (484 nucleotides) under uncultured bacterium. RNAcentral's name for it is "partial 16S ribosomal RNA". It matches the Rfam family "Bacterial small subunit ribosomal RNA", at positions 30 to 507 of the family's 1533-position model. The record is from RNAcentral.
AUUGAACGCUGGCGGCAGGCCUAACACAUGCAAGUCGAGCGGAUGAAGGGAGCUUGCUCCUGGAUUCAGCGGCGGACGGGUGAGUAAUGCCUAGGAAUCUGCCUGGUAGUGGGGGAUAACGUCCGGAAACGGGCGCUAAUACCGCAUACGUCCUGAGGGAGAAAGUGGGGGAUCUUCGGACCUCACGCUAUCAGAUGAGCCUAGGUCGGAUUAGCUAGUUGGUGGGGUAAAGGCCUACCAAGGCGACGAUCCGUAACUGGUCUGAGAGGAUGAUCAGUCACACUGGAACUGAGACACGGUCCAGACUCCUACGGGAGGCAGCAGUGGGGAAUAUUGGACAAUGGGCGAAAGCCUGAUCCAGCCAUGCCGCGUGGGUGAAGAAGGUCUUCGGAUUGUAAAGCCCUUUUAGUUGGGAGGAAGGGCAGUAAGUUAAUACCUUGCUGUUUUGACGUUACCAACAGAAUAAGCACCGGCUAACUUCGUG